CUAGACGAAAAAAAAGGAGAAUCAGCUAGAAAAUAUUCUUCAUCUUCUUCGUUGGCAAAACGAAAAGAGCUAAAAAGCAAAAGAAGGGCUCCAGCCAUUGGACAAUACAUCCGAACCUUGAGAUCAUCUUCUUCACUAAAGGAAAAAACCUAGCGCCUCCUGCUUCUUGUUCUUCAAACCAUUGACGAUCUUCGCCGUAUCGCCGCUAACUCACUAGAAGAAAGGUACUGCUAGUUGAGCAAAAGAACAUAAAUAAUACUCCAAGGAUAAGGUCUUGGUCGGUUAGAUCUGGCAGCGAGGCUGUCCAUUCUAAGGUUGGAGAUUUCCGGCGAGGCUUUCUGUUUGAGGACGAUUUGAGGUCAUUGUUCAAGUCGAGGUUAGUGAUCUUGGUUGGAACGUUAUUGCUGGCGUCAGUAGCUGAAGCUCAUAAUUUUGUACGCAGCCAAAAGGUUAGAAAUCCUUCAAUUGAAAUAUACAUUCCUAAAUCGCUCUUGGUUCAAUGUUAUAUGCAUAUGGGAGUUGGUCUCUAUUUGUGUGUAUUUCUGUAUGUAUAUAUAAUUUUGAUUCAAAGUUGUGGUAUUUCGGUUGAAAGUUUGAUUUUUGUAAUAAAGUUGAAUUUGGGUAUUAUGUGUUUGCUGUUUGGUUGUUAUAAUUGUUUUGGGAUUUUGGGUUUUCACUUCAAAUAGCAUUUCAGUUAAUUGAAUACCAAGGCAUUUUAGCAUGGCUUGUAGUUUAAGGGAUAUUAAGUGCCAAUGCGGGUGAAUAUACUGUUUUGUUAUGGGUAAAUCGUGUUUGGUUUUUUGGUUAAUCCUCACAGACUAAGUGAAGUAAUAUAUGAUUGUAGAAUUAUUUAGAAGAAGAGAUAGGGGCGACGGGUUUUCUGUUGGAAUAAGAUUGAUUUCGUUUUUUGACUAAUAAAUGGGUUCGAUUGAUUUUCUUCACGUGUAAUCUUAAAUGGCGGAAAUGCAUAAUGUGAACAAAUACCGUAGCUUGCUUUAGGCGCGAUUAAUAAUAAAUAUCGUGACUAUGGGUACGGUUCCCAUGACAUGGUCAUGAUACAUAAACCUGGGUGUGCAUUUCAUGUGACCCGACUUCAAUUUCAACAAGGUUAAAUAGAAGGUGUCGUGAACCACGGGUGCAUUUCAUGUAGCGUGGCUUACGAUGUGUUUUAAAUAACCUUGAAUUUUUCCUGAAAUAUUAAAAGCGGCUAAAAGAUUAAAAAUGCACAAUAGGUUUAAAACUAUUUUAAAAUCAGAUAAUUGAGCCAAAAAUAAUAGUUGAGCGACCGUGCUAGAACCACGGAACUCGGGAAUGCCUAAUACCUUCUCCCGGGUUAACAAAAUUCCUUACCCGGAUUUUUGUGUUCGCAGACUGUAAAAUAGAGUCAAUCUUUUUCUCGAUUCGGGAUUUGAACCGGUGACUUGGGACACCAUAAAUUAUCCUAAGUGGCGACUCUGAAUUUUUACAUAAAAAUAAUCCCGUUUCGAUUGUCACUUUAAGUUGGAAAAAAACUCUCUCAUACCCUUCCAGGGUGUAGUGAAAAAGGAGGUAUGAAAAUGAUGGUCCGUCUCAGCAGAAGGGUCAGCCCUCGACUUCAACUCCAGUUACUUCACCACCUACCCAGUCAGAUAGGGGUGGAGGUCAGUCAGCUAGGGGUCGCCCUAGAGGGGGAGGUCGAUCAGGUGGUGGUCAAGCUCAUUUCUAUGCCCUCCCAGGUAGACCAGAUGCUGCUGCUUCAGAUGCCGUGAUUUCAAGUAUUGUUUUAGUAUGCCACAGAGAUGCCUUUGUAUUAUUAUUUGAUUCAAAAGUAUAGAAUAAUUAAGAACAAAAAUAAAAUAAUUAAAUAAAUUUGAAGAAAGUACAAGUCUUGCUAUGGAUUCAACUUCUCUGACAGCAAUAAUAAAAGCGAUAUGAAGACUAAAAAGAGAGAAAUUAGCAAAAUAUAUUAAGAAUAGAUUUGGCUUUUGAGUACAUAAUAUUUUGUGUCUUAUAAUGAAUUUGAGUUCUUCUAUUUAUAGCUCAAUUCAGGGAGACAAAAUCCCAAACAAGAUCUUCUUUAAUAUGAAUAAAACCCCUCUUGAUGAUUGCAUAAUGGUUGAACAUUAAUACCGUGAUUCUUUGUUACGGCUACUCAUUGAAUGUUGUCUUUUCCAACUGAUAUCUUCCCUUCAAAUAUUCGUACUCGGUUUUACUGUCCUCGAAAUUUACCCAGCAAUGGUCAUAUGUUCGAAAUUCGUACCAGUCUUUUGCUGGCUCAUAUCUUACUUGUCUUUGCUUUCACGUGUCGAUUCGUCAAAUGUCCACAUGCCAUUUAUCAAUUUUACCCGCUAUAGAUUGUUCCCCUACUUUUUGGAGACAACACUUUGGUGUUACCGGAAAGUAGAUAAGACCUCUUUCCUUAGCGAGUAAGUUUCUGAAUGAUUUCUCACACUUGAAUGGAUGCACGUCUCCUUGCAUCUAAUGAACCGAAUACGUGUUAUUCCACCAUUCGACAAGUGUUUUUGCCGAUUUUAAAAGUAAUCAUGACCAUGAAUUCCGCCGCAUAUAAACUUCCCCAUUACUCUUCACUUUUUUUCACUUUUACAAACCCUUCUUCAAAUCUCCUUAGAACUCAACUGCAAACCCCUCCUUCUCAGUAAAAUCACUUCACUCAGAUUUUCUACCACCAUGUCUUUUACUUCAUUUAUCCCCGAAAACUCUAGAAUUAUCAUCGGUGGUGGCCCUUCUAAAAAGAAUAAAACUAAGGAAGCCAAUGUCGAGCCUCCUACUGUCAACACCAUCAUUCCUUCUCAACUUAAUUCUCAGAUGGACCUUCAAGUUCAAAAGGAACCUAUCAACCCCAAAAAUGACAAAAAAUUGUCAUGUUCGCAGAUAUCCUUCUUCUAUUUUUCAUGUUAGCAUUUCUGUUAUAAAGGAAGAUUGUGACUUGAAUAACAUCAAAAUCUUCGCCCCAAUGAAGCGGAAAGGACUACAUUUAGCAAACCAGGGUUCACGUAUGUUUAUACAUACCCUUUCAUCCUAAAAUUGGGUUAAGAGACUGAUUACAUAAUUUUAGAGUUUUGCCACCAUUACCAAAUCUGCUUGGCUCAAGUAAGCCCGUCAAUAUAGUGUACGAUGUCUUGCCUUUUGAAAUUGUGUUCCUCGGCCGUAGAAACCCUUUCUCUUGCCCAUUUGAUCAACCUCUACUUCCCAAAUAUUUUCCGUGGAAGCGUGGUCAUCAUGCUAUUGUUACUAGCGUUGAUGACAACAAUGACCCUAGUUGGAUGGAACGAUUUGUUGUCAUUGCUACCAAGGACAUCCUUCCGGCAACAACCCCUUCUAUCCCCGAGUCUUGGAAUUUUGAUAGUUAGUUUUCAAAUAACUUUUCCUUAUUGUGUUAAAGAUAAUUUCCUCCUUUGCUAACUUUUAUUUCCUUUUAUUUUAGCUACCCAAUGAGAACCACCAUCCAUUAAGAACCUGACCGAAUAGGCUCAGAAAAUUUUGGACGUUUUCACACCGGAUUAUCACAGGUGGAAAGAAAUUGCACAAAAAUUCAAUUGGAAAGCCAAAAAUCACGGUAAGUAAAAGUACUCCUUUUUUUCCUUUCAACAUGAUUUAAAACCAAUUUGCUAACUUUCUUUCAUAUUACACAAGCCUUUUGAAGGGGUCUGCCAUUUGCCCCGUUGUUGAGGUUUUCGUUGAUCUAACGGAGGCCCAAUAACAAUGGAAAGACCUCCUUAAUCGGAAAAAGGGAUCAUGAAGUCACUCUUGUUUUCGGUGAAGGUCCCCCCUUCCGGAGUCUCCAGCCCAAGGAUAAGAAACCAAAAAGAAGACAUACCUCUACGCCUGGGAUUCGGGAGAAGAUUUCAACAAAAGAAACUCCCACUGGACCGAUCAAAAUGAUCUUUGAGGAAAAAGGAACUGAUGAUGAAGCGACUCCACUUCAAAAGAGAAAAAGAUCUUCUCCAACUCAACUAGAUGUUCACCCGAGAGAACAUCAAUCAGCUUAAAUGGGAGAACUUCAAGUGAUCUUUAAGGAAAUGGAAACAAUUGAAAUUGCAAAGCCCCAUUUUUGGGCUCCCAUUGUUGCUUCCGGUCAGAGGUAUUAUACCUCUGAUGUUCCUCUGCCACCAAAUUCUACACCAACCGCAACACCAACUUCUACCCACCCACCGACCUAUACCGAACAAAUAGAAGAUGUUUGUUCUCCAUGGUCACCCGACCAAGGAAAUUUAGGGAACACUUAUCUGGCACCCAUCCAAAACCCUAAUGGAAAGCACAAUGUCAUUCUUAUGGCUUCGAAUAAGUGUCACCUACUCUCCAAGCCGGCGGAGGUCGUGGAUUACUUGAAGCCUAUGGCUACGGAUAAAGAUUGGAGAAAGAUAGAUACUCUUUCUAUUAAGUAUUUGAUCAAUAAUAUCAUGCACCUUUUAGCUCAGAUAUCAAUUUAAUCUUCAUCUCUUCCCCUUUUUAUUGCUAAACUUUUUCUUUAUAACUUUAAUUUUUAACAUUUUUUGUCUAAUAUCAUUGCCUCCGAGGGUUUGCAAAAGUUGAUCUCGGAAUUAGAAGAGCUUGCUGCUGAAUGAAAUUAACUUGCUGCCGAAUUAAAUCAGCUUGCCAAGCGCCUCCCGAUUUUGGAAGCAAAGUUGCUUUAAUGGGCAAGCUAGAAGCCCGACUAGAGUAAUUUGAGCAAGAGAAAAUGGCCCAUAGUCAAGAGGUUGCUCAAUUACAUGAAGAGCUUAAGGAUUUGAAGGCUAAGUGGGCUGAGCUAUAGGAUAUUGUAACUGCCACAACCAAACAUGAGUCUACUUCCAUAGAACAAAUCAACAACCUGGAAGCAAAGUUAUGUUCCAAAACCGAAAAGGCUACUAUUGUCGAGGAGAAGAGAGCCAGAAUAGAAGAAAUGUUAAAAAAGGUCAUGGAACAGAACUGCAAACAUGCGAGGACAAAUAUCGACCUUAAUCGAACCUAUGGCAGUGUGAGGGCUGAAAAUGAUCAGCUGCAAUCCAAAGUUGAGAAACUCCAACAUCAAGAAGUCUCUUUCCUCCUCGAAAAACUUAUGCAAUUUACAAGAUGAGGAAGACGAUUUUAGAGAAGGCCAAAGACGGCAUUGAAAACAUAGAUGAUUACAUCACUAAAGCUCGUAUUGGAGACAACUUCCCUCGAUAAAAUUCUUGCUCGGCCCACCGCUUCAAGUUAUUCGAAAACUAGCUCUGAGUAUUCGAGAACCGAAGAGGAAGAUGAAGAAGAAGUGAAAGAUAAGGAUGAAGGCCUUGGACCAGGUACGGAACAGCCUUCAUCUGCAAAAGAAGCAAAAGACACUUCCCUUCUUUUGGACUCCGCAUGCAAAAGCAAUUGAUGUAUACAUUUUGCUUUUCCUUUGUUACUAUGCCGAAACUUCUUAUUGAGUUUGACAUUUUAAGUAAUGAAAGAAACUUUUUGCUUAAUGAUUGUGCAAAAAUAUUCUUUUUUAAUUAACUAAUAAAGCUCGGAAAUUAUUUUUACAUCCGAUAACUUUAAUCAUAGCAUUCAUACAUUCAAUAUCUAUCCUUUCACUAUGAGGGUUUCAUUAGAGAGGACCCUUAUGUUUAUGAUGCUCUUGAAGAGGAUGUCUCAUAUUUAUUUCGGCACAAUAAUUUGAAGUUCUAAUUAACUUUCAAAUGAAAAAGAAUUAAACUUAUCAUUUGGACAAGAAAUAAGAUAAAAUGAAAAGGAUUUUGAUUUAUUCCUUACAUUUCUAAAAGUACAUUUACAUAAACAUUUAUUUGCUUAAGUAAAUAAAGUUGUCAAUACAUGUGUUUAACUUGUAUAACUUAUUUCUACGGGGCUGAUCAUGCAAACCUUGAUCUUGAUAAUAAAUAGCUUCUGGUUCUAACAGUACCCGGUCUUCGUGACACUUUUAGUACUCUAGUCUGCAAUAGUGUCUCCAAUGUUCAGAUGCUAAGUAUGAGAAUUUGAACACUGGAGUUCUUGCUAUCGUUGAUGAUCCUUCCUCGUAGUAUGCUUUAUGUUGCCGCCUCAUUAAAAACUUUGCCAGAAAAACCCAAUUGAGACAAAAACUGGACGAAGGGAUAAAGAGUGUAGCACAUACUUUCAGUAUCAGCAACGAUCUUUAGCAGUAAUACCUUUUGAGGUGAGUCACGUUCUAAUUUCUUGAAAAUUUAAAUCCAUCUUGAUUUUCCAACUGUUAUGAAUCUUUAUCAGUUAUAGCUGAAAUCCAGUAAUGUCCUUCCUAUGUUGGUCCUAGCUUCAUGUGUUAACUUCUCAAGUACUUUGACUUACUCUUUCUUAAAACCAAAUCUCUAACUUUGAAAUAUCAAAGAAUUGCUCUGCGGUUGACUUGGUUUUUUCCUUCGAUACUUGAAAAUACCUCAGUACCUGAUAGAAAUUCAAUGACUCCUCUUGCCCAUUACCUUCAAUCGGGAUGGAAGAGAGCACCAAUUCAUGUAGUUUCUAUUUUAUUUAUCCUUAUGCUUUGCUACUGGAAACGAUAACUAUAUUCAUUUCUCUCACAGCUGGUUGAUCUUCUCUAAUUUGUUUGAUCCCCUCCGGUGUAGGGAACUUCAGCAAUUGAUAGAAAGUUAGUGGCACAUAGUUCAUUUCAUGAAUCUAUGGCCUUCCAAGGAUCACGUUGUAUCCCAUAUCGCCAUCUACCACCUCGAACAAAAUAGUUUUCGUUACGUGUAAUGACCUAUAUUUAAGUUAGGAUAUGUUGGUCUUUUAACAUAACCAAAAAAAUACAAGAAAAAAAAAAGGAAAACCUAAUCAAUUUAAAAGAAGGGAAAACACCCACGUGAAAAAGAAAGAAAAGGAAAUUGGGGGAAAGGGAAAAGUAGUGAUGCUGCUGCAACAAAAGCAAAAAGAAAAGGAAGAAGAAGAAGAAGAAGAAAGAGGUUGGAACUUGGAAAAUAGGUAAUAUAAUAUUCUUAUAUUUUGUUUUACUAAUAUGAGAGUAUAUAAAUUAAAUAAUUUGAGUUAUAUAAUGAGAUUGACUAAUAUAAUUAGAAACAAGAAAAAAUUAAGUAAUCCCUCCCUAACUCAUAGCACUUUGUGGAAGAAUCAUGGGUGAAAGCAGAACACUUUGUAAUGAAGAUUUAAUUUUUUAAAACAAAUCAAAUUCAUAAUGUAUUUGUAUGUAGUAAUAUGAAUAAAAUAUGGGAACAUACAUAGAAACAAAGGCAAUUUGUUAAAGGUGUUCUUUUUAAUUCAAAGGAUAAACUUUCUUACUUCACUUGCUUAAGUUUAUCUUCUAGGUAUAUAUAAUUUUGUUAGGUAAAGAAAGCAUUGUCGAUAGUGAUCCUAUAUGAUUUAUAUAUAUACACAUAGUUGGAAUAAUUUGGGUAAAAGAAAAUUGAAUAAAUAAAUAAAUAAAUAUACAAGUAACUUGAAAUUGAUAGAUUAUAGACUAGUUGAAUUACUCAUAGCAUGGAUAAAUGUGAUUAAGUGAAUUGAUGGUAUAACCUAAAACUCUAAGGAUUUAGAAUCUAAAUUUAGCUAUAAAUUAGCUUAAACAAAGAAAUUAACACAAGAUCGAUAUUGAUGUGGCUAUAGAUUGAUUGAAGAAAGUCGUACAGAUCGCUCGAGGCGACAAGUUUGGUAUUUUGACACGAGUACUGUGAGUAGUAAUCUCACCGCAAUUUGUGUUUUCAUAACCUGCAUGGUUUAUACAUUAUUUUGAAAAUAAAAGGUGUUACCGAAUGUUCGAAAUUGCAUGUGGGACAAGUCUUUUACUUGAUAUGGUACUGAAUAGUUUACUUGAGAUGUUUACAGGUAUUUAAAAUGUUCUCAGUGUUACGAGACGUGUUUUAUUAUUAUUUGAGAUAUGAUUAUCGUUACCGAAAUUGGAUUACAUGACUUGAUAGGAAUUGAAAUGCCUUAUACUAUUUUGAAAAUACUUUCAUGUAAAUAUUUACUGUUUACAAAGCAAAGUAUAAAUGGGAGGAGACUUUAAAGGAUCUCGUAACUAAAGGCAGGUUCGUUAGACCUGGUGNNNNNNNNNNNNNNNNNNNNNNNNNNNNNNNNNNNNNNNNNNNNNNNNNNNNNNNNNNNNNNNNNNNNNNNNNNNNNNNNNNNNNNNNNNNNNNNNNNNNNNNNNNNNNNNNNNNNNNNNNNNNNNNNNNNNNNNNNNNNNNNNNNNNNNNNNNNNNNNNNNNNNNNNNNNNNNNNNNNNNCUCCUCUUACGAAGGGGAGUACACAAUGAUGCAUACUACAUGAUCCUUUUCUAGAAACCUCCAAGAUAUAAAGAUUUGAGUAUUUACCGAGUUUAUUACUGAAUUGUUAAAUUGCUUUUGUUACAGGAAACAUAUGACUAGACUGAUUAUUAUUACUGUUUUAAAAAUGGCAUUUUAUUUUGUGAUUAAUUUACAAGCAUGUUUUCUGACUUGUCCGCAAUUAAAAAUGGUUGUGGUUAAGUGUUAUUACUCACUGAGAUAGCGACUCACUCUCCGCUACUAUUUUUGCAGAGGCAAUAGUAGAGGCGGGCGAUGAUUCUGUUAAUUAGAGUGCACGAGUUGGCAGAUCCUGGUGAACCCUGCAUUUAUUCGCGUGGGAAAAUAUUGUUGUUUAUUUGUUAUAGUCUUUUUCUUGAAAUUCUUAGAGUCGUUCCAUAGCCAUUUUGUUAGUGUCAUGAGUAUUCGUUCAUUAUUUUAUAUCUAUGACUACUAUUGGACUCUCUUAUAGUAUUUUGGAGAUGAAUUUAAAAUUUCUGUGUUGCAAAUGAUUGAUUAAU
This 8707-nucleotide long non-coding RNA is filed under the name Nicotiana tabacum (common tobacco). RNAcentral describes it as "long non-coding RNA (NTAB_LNC016045)". The record is from RNAcentral. Lineage: Eukaryota; Viridiplantae; Streptophyta; Magnoliopsida; Solanales; Solanaceae.